CACAUGCAAGUCGAACGGCAGCACGGAGAGCUUGCUCUCUGGUGGCGAGUGGCGAACGGGUGAGUAAUAUAUCGGAACGUGUCCAAUAAUGGGGGAUAACGAGUCGAAAGAUUCGCUAAUACCGCAUACGCCCUACGGGGGAAAGCAGGGGAUCGUAAGACCUUGCGUUAAUGGAGCGGCCGAUAUCUGAUUAGCUUGUUGGUGAGGUAAAGGCUCACCAAGGCGACGAUCAGUAGCUGGUUUGAGAGAACGACCAGCCACACUGGAACUGAGACACGGUCCAGACUCCUACGGGAGGCAGCAGUGGGGAAUUUUGGACAAUGGGGGCAACCCUGAUCCAGCCAUUCCGCGUGAGUGAAGAAGGCCUUCGGGUUGUAAAGCUCUUUCGCAAGGGAAGAAAACUUAUGAUCGAAUAAAUCAUGAGGUUGACGGUACCUUGAUAAGAAGCACCGGCUAACUACGUGCCAGCAGCCGCGGUAAUACGUAGGGUGCGAGCGUUAAUCGGAAUUACUGGGCGUAAAGCGUGCGCAGGCGGUUUUGUAAGUCGGAUGUGAAAUCCCCGGGCUCAACCUGGGAACUGCGUUCGAAACUGCAAGGCUAGAGUGUGUCAGAGGGGGGUAGAAUUCCACGUGUAGCAGUGAAAUGCGUAGAGAUGUGGAGGAAUACCAAUGGCGAAGGCAGCCCCCUGGGAUAACACUGACGCUCAUGCACGAAAGCGUGGGGAGCAAACAGGAUUAGAUACCCUGGUAGUCCACGCCCUAAACGAUGUCAACUAGUUGUUGGUAGAGUAAAAUCUAUGAGUAACGUAGCUAACGC
This 816-nucleotide ribosomal RNA is filed under the name uncultured beta proteobacterium. RNAcentral's name for it is "bacterial SSU rRNA". It matches the Rfam family "Bacterial small subunit ribosomal RNA", at positions 52 to 858 of the family's 1533-position model. Lineage: Bacteria; Pseudomonadati; Pseudomonadota; Betaproteobacteria. The record is from RNAcentral.